GAUGAACGCUGGCGGCGUGCCUAAUACAUGCAAGUCGAGCGAACGGACGAGAAGCUUGCUUCUCUGAUGUUAGCGGCGGACGGGUGAGUAACACGUGGAUAACCUACCUAUAAGACUGGGAUAACUUCGGGAAACCGUAGCUAAUACCGGAUAAUAUUUUGAACCGCAUGGUUCAAAAGUGAAAGACGGUCUUGCUGUCACUUAUAGAUGGAUCCGCGCUGCAUUAGCUAGUUGGUAAGGUAACGGCUUACCAAGGCAUCGAUGCAUAGCCGACCUGAGAGGGAGAUCGGCCACACGGGAACUGAGAAACGGUCCAGACUCCUACGGGAGGCAGCAGUAGGGAAUCUUCCGCAAUGGGCGAAAGCCUGACGGAGCAACGCCGCGUGAGUGAUGAAGGUCUUCGGAUCGUAAAACUCUGUUAUUAGGGAAGAACAUAUGUGUAAGUAACUGUGCACAGCUUGACGGUACCUAAUCAGAAAGCCACGGCUAACUACGUG
Molecule: ribosomal RNA, 497 nt
Filed under: uncultured bacterium
Lineage: Bacteria
Description: partial 16S ribosomal RNA
Rfam family: Bacterial small subunit ribosomal RNA
Source: RNAcentral